CUUAUCCAGAGCGGCAGAGGGACUGGCCCGAUGAAGCCCGGCAACCGGCGCGGAUAUGCGCGCAAGGUGCCAAUUCCAGCGGCGUGGCUGUCACGCCGGCAGAUAAG
Molecule: non-coding RNA, 107 nt
Filed under: bovine gut metagenome
Description: SAM riboswitch (S box leader)
Rfam family: SAM riboswitch aptamer (S box leader)
About the family: The SAM riboswitch is found upstream of a number of genes which code for proteins involved in methionine or cysteine biosynthesis in Gram-positive bacteria. The SAM riboswitch acts at the level of transcription termination control.
Source: RNAcentral